GAUGAACGCUGGCGGCGUGCCUAAUACAUGCAAGUCGAGCGAACGGACGAGAAGCUUGCUUCUCUGAUGUUAGCGGCGGAUGGGUGAGUAACACGUGGAUAACCUACCUAUAAGACUGGGAUAACUUCGGGAAACCGUAGCUAAUACCGGAUAAUAUUUUGAACCGCAUGGUUCAAAAGUGAAAGACGGUCUUGCUGUCACUUAUAGAUGGAUCCGCGCUGCAUUAGCUAGUUGGUAAGGUAACGGCUUACCAAGGCAACGAUGCAUAGCCGACCUGAGAGGGUGAUCGGCCACACUGGAACUGAGACACGGUCCAGACUCCUACGGGAGGCAGCAGUAGGGAAUCUUCCGCAAUGGGCGAAAGACUGACGGAGCAACGCCGCGUGAGUGAUGAAGGUCUUCGGAUCGUAAAACUCUGUUAUUAGGGAAGAACAUAUGUGUAAGUAACUGUGCACAUCUUGACGGUACCUAAUCAGAAAGCCACGGCUAACUACGUG
This 497-nucleotide ribosomal RNA is filed under the name uncultured bacterium. RNAcentral's name for it is "partial 16S ribosomal RNA". It matches the Rfam family "Bacterial small subunit ribosomal RNA", at positions 28 to 507 of the family's 1533-position model. The record is from RNAcentral.